UACCAGCACCCCGAGUGGUCGGGACGUUUAUUGGGCCUAAAGCAUCCGUAGCCGGUUCUACAAGUCUUCCGUUAAAUCCAGCUGCUUAACAGAUGGGCUGCGGAAGAUACUAUGGAGCUAGGAGGCGGGAGAGGCAAGCGGUACUCGAUGGGUAGGGGGUAAAAUCCGUUGAUCCAUUGAAGACCACCAGUGGCGAAGGCGGCUUGCCAGAACGCGCUCGACGGUGAGGGAUGAAAGCUGGGGGAGCAAACCGG
This 254-nucleotide ribosomal RNA is filed under the name uncultured bacterium. RNAcentral's name for it is "partial 16S ribosomal RNA". It matches the Rfam family "Archaeal small subunit ribosomal RNA", at positions 474 to 727 of the family's 1478-position model. The record is from RNAcentral.